Non-coding RNA from Podarcis lilfordi (Lilford's wall lizard), 72 nucleotides. Lineage: Eukaryota; Metazoa; Chordata; Lepidosauria; Squamata; Lacertidae. The record is from the annotation of a GenBank genome assembly.
AGAGUCAUAGUUCAGUGGCAGAGCAUACACUUUGCAUGCAGAGAGUCACGGGUUCAAUUCCCUGUGUCUCCA